RNAcentral lists this ribosomal RNA (309 nucleotides) under Tricholoma bakamatsutake. RNAcentral's name for it is "partial small subunit ribosomal RNA". Lineage: Eukaryota; Fungi; Basidiomycota; Agaricomycetes; Agaricales; Tricholomataceae. The record is from RNAcentral.
GCUUUAAAAGUUUAAAUCUUUUUAAUAGCUCUUUUUCCGUUUGUCAUACCAUUAUUUUUUUGUUUUUGUUUUUUGUUUUAUAAAUAAUAAACAAAAAUGAAUAUAAAGGUAGUACAUUUUAUAAAUUUAAUUAAUUUAAUUAAUUUAAUUAAUUUAAUUUUAUAAUUAUAAAGGGGACAAAAAAGAUAUCCCGGUUUAAGUAAAAAGAAUAAAAUGAAUUAAAGCUAGGAUCAAAUUGAGGAUAAACCAAAUAAUACUUAGAGUAGGGCCGAUAUCCGCAGAUACUAAGGGGAAUACUAAAGGUGAAAG